This 956-nucleotide long non-coding RNA is filed under the name Mus musculus (house mouse). RNAcentral describes it as "long non-coding RNA chr13:91525470-91526426". Lineage: Eukaryota; Metazoa; Chordata; Mammalia; Rodentia; Muridae. The record is from RNAcentral.
UUGUUGGAAACAGGCUGACCUCAUACUUGCUGUGGUCCUGCCUCAGGUUCCUGAGUGCUGACUGCAGGAAGUGCGUCUCUUGCACUUCUCAAGCUCUGAAUCUGGGUGUUCUUGCAAGAACUCUAUUUUUCUUCUUUACUUUAGAUUAUGAUAAAUAUUAUGAAGGUGCUGAAUUCUGUUACUUAGUUGGCACAUCAUGUACCAAGGUAUAGUACACUUACCAUUUUAAAUUAUUGCAAGAAAUUCAUAAGAUACAUCAUAUUAUUGCUAUUUUAUUUAAUUGGAUGCUCCUGGGUCUAAACCUAUAGAACUCUUAAGUAAGUACACCACAGAUACACUUGUACAUUCAUAUUUAUUGCAAUGCUAUUUGUAAUAGCCAAAUUAUUUAGGUGUCCAUAAAUGGAGGGAUAAAUAAAUAAAAUAUAGUAAUAUGCACAGUAAAGUUUUAUUCAGUCAUAAAGAAUAAUAUAAUGAUGUUAUUUUCUGGGAAAACAGAUACAACUUGAGAUCAUCAUACUGAGUAAAAUAAACCAAAUUGAAAAAAUGGAAAAUAUGUUUUCUUUCAUUUGCAGAUCCUAGACUUCAGUAGAUUAUAUAAAAGUAUGUGCGUUCGUGCGUGCGUGCGUGCGUGCGCUCACUCACUUGCACAUGCGCUGUGUGCACUCACAUGGACACAGACAUACACACACACACACACACACACACACACACACACACACACAUCAUUGAAGCAGAAGGGUGGCUGGCUAAGGAAGUAGGCCAGGUUGGGGUGGGGCAGGAGAUACGGCCAAAGCACGUGAUGUACUUGAGAGUAAUUGUUAGGCUGCCGAGCACUGUGUACAGUGAAUGGACCACAGCAGAGAGGAGGGGAAGGAGCGGGUCAUAUCACAGGAGCUUUCAUCCUUAGCUGUAGAAUCUUUACAUAUAAAAAAUUAUGUGUACACAUUUAUAAUUGC